This 253-nucleotide ribosomal RNA is filed under the name uncultured bacterium. Its description in RNAcentral is "partial 16S ribosomal RNA". It matches the Rfam family "Bacterial small subunit ribosomal RNA", at positions 524 to 776 of the family's 1533-position model. The record is from RNAcentral.
UACGUAGGGUGCAAGCGUUGUCCGGAAUUAUUGGGCGUAAAGAGCUCGUAGGCGGUUCGUCGCGUCGGCUGUGAAAACCUGAGGCUCAACCUCAGGCCUGCAGUCGAUACGGGCGGACUUGAGUACUGCAGGGGAGACUGGAAUUCCUGGUGUAGCGGUGAAAUGCGCAGAUAUCAGGAGGAACACCGGUGGCGAAGGCGAUCAUCUGGGGUUGUUCUGACACUGAGGAGCGAAAGCUAGGGGAGCAAACGGG